This 225-nucleotide transfer-messenger RNA is filed under the name Methylomonas sp. It matches the Rfam family "transfer-messenger RNA", at positions 144 to 374 of the family's 374-position model. From Rfam's summary of the family: Bacterial tmRNA, also known as 10Sa RNA or SsrA, is named for its dual tRNA and mRNA-like properties. Its role is to liberate the mRNA from a stalled ribosome. Lineage: Bacteria; Pseudomonadati; Pseudomonadota; Gammaproteobacteria; Methylococcales; Methylococcaceae. The record is from Rfam by way of RNAcentral.
GCUUCCCGGGAAGCCACGCCUGGCCGCGUCCCCAAGGAAGCAUCAUCAAAAGCCGGGAUAAGCCAUGUAAGACCCUGGUGCAUGGACUAAAACCCAAAGGGUGUAGGCAGAGAAUAGGGGCGCCUUUUCCCGGUUCGAAACCGAAUACCCAACUAAAGGAUAAGCAUGUAGAAAGCAUUUUUGCUGCUUGUUUGGACGAGGGUUCAAUCCCCUCCAGCUCCACAA